Molecule: ribosomal RNA, 314 nt
Filed under: uncultured bacterium
Lineage: Bacteria
Description: partial 16S ribosomal RNA
Rfam family: Bacterial small subunit ribosomal RNA
Source: RNAcentral
GCUUGACAUGCAGGUGGUACGAACCUGAAAGGGCGAGGACCAUAUCUUCGGAUGUGGAGCCUGCACAGGUGCUGCAUGGCUGUCGCCAGCNGUGUCGUGAGAUGUUGGGUUAAGUCCCGCAACGAGCGCAACCCCUGCGCCUAGUUGCCAUCAGUUAGGCUGGGCACUCUAGGCGGACUGCCGGCGACAAGUCGGAGGAAGGNGGGGAUGACGNCANGUCAUNAUGGCCUUUAAGCCCAGGGCGACACACGUGCUACAAUGGNCAGCACAGAGGGCUGCAAGUCCGCGAGGGCNAGCNAAUCCCUUAAAGCUGG